This 21-nucleotide unclassified non-coding RNA is filed under the name Mus musculus (house mouse). RNAcentral describes it as "oocyte_clustered_small_RNA8838". Lineage: Eukaryota; Metazoa; Chordata; Mammalia; Rodentia; Muridae. The record is from RNAcentral.
UCGUCCUCGCUGCAGCAAGCG